Molecule: ribosomal RNA, 438 nt
Filed under: Symbiodinium sp. clade A
Lineage: Eukaryota; Dinophyceae; Suessiales; Symbiodiniaceae
Description: partial large subunit ribosomal RNA
Rfam family: Eukaryotic large subunit ribosomal RNA
Source: RNAcentral
GAGCGUCUACGUGGGUGAGAAUCCUGUGUUUCGCUUGAUGCCCGCCGUGCACGGUACUUGCUCUCAGAGUCACGCUCCUCGGAAUUGGAGCGUAAAUUGGGUGGUAAAUUUCAUCUAAAGCUAAAUACAGGCUCGAGACCGAUAGCAAACAAGUACCAUGAGGGAAAGAUGAAAAGGACUUUGAAAAGAGAGUUAAAAGUGCUUGAAAUCGCUGAACUGGAAGCGAAUGGAACUAGUGCUCUGGUUGAGAUUGCUGUAAAUGGCUGCGACAUCUGGGCUCUGGAACGCAAGUCCUUUGUCUGGCUUGAAGUAGUCGCUUGCAAUGUGUCUCAGCUUGAACAUCAACUUCUAUGCAUACGUGAGGAUGGCCCUUGGCUCAUGCUGUGUUGCUGUGGCGAUACUCUUGUGCUUCUGGGGAUUCAGGUGUGUGGUGGAUUG